CAGGCCUAACACAUGCAAGUCGAACGAAGGCUUCGGCCUUAGUGGCGCACGGGUGCGUAACGCGUGGGAAUCUGCCCCUUGGUUCGGAAUAACAGUUAGAAAUGACUGCUAAUACCGGAUAACGACGUAAGUCCAAAGAUUUAUCGCCGAGGGAUGAGCCCGCGUAGGAUUAGCUAGUUGGUGUGGUAAAGGCGCACCAAGGCGACGAUCCUUAGCUGGCCUGAGAGGAUGAUCAGCCACACUGGGACUGAGACACGGCCCAGACUCCUACGGGAGACAGCAGUGGGGAAUAUUGGACAAUGGGCGAAAGCCUGAUCCAGCAAUGCCGCGUGAGUGAUGAAGGCCUUAGGGUUGUAAAGCUCUUUUACCCGGGAUGAUAAUGAC
Molecule: ribosomal RNA, 384 nt
Filed under: uncultured bacterium
Lineage: Bacteria
Description: bacterial SSU rRNA
Rfam family: Bacterial small subunit ribosomal RNA
Source: RNAcentral